UGGGAUUGGGGCUGAAUGAGGUCCUUGUCGAUAGUAAGUGACCCUUUGAAACCAGAACAUUUUCAGAACUCGAUUUCACCAUCAAAAAGACGAUUUUUAGCACAAUUUUUAGACACAACAUGGUAAUUUCUCUGCCUGCUGAUACUUAAAAUCUCAAGUUUAUGCACAUGAUGGUAGACUGAUUAUCAGUCUCAGCCAAUUAUUGGUGUCCAUAUUUGGCAUUUUUCUGUAUCUACCUUUUAUUUUGAAAAUAAGUGAGUCCAAAAGUGUUGAUUAAACAUUUGCUCGAGACAAUUUAACAGUUUGUAAUAUUCCAAACUCUAAAUUUUGAUGGGAAGUUUUCCAUUUAUACCAUCAGUGGAUUUUAUAAAAAUAAAUUACGAGUCAAUUGAAAUUCCCUCACAUCUGUUUUUUGUCCCUAAUUGUAGCACUAAUCAUACCAAUUUAUGUCAGAGGGGUUAUACCUCGGGCAGGUUUAGUUUUCAGUAGUUAUUUGAUUGUUCAUUAAAUGGAUAUUCCGGCGUAAAAUUAAGUUAGGGUUAAACAUACAGGAACACCGAGUUAGACAGUCCCUCAAAUAUGAAUGUUGCUGACCGCUUGCUUCUCUAGUUAUACCAACUUUAGUAACGACCACACGAUAGCAAUACAGAGAGCCACGCGUUCAACCAAAACACCACUCUAUAGCCACAAAUAAUGCUCAGAACAGCACCUAACUUCAUCAACAGGACAUAUAGGGUCCUCGCCACAGCACUAGCCACCAAACAUCUAUUUAACUUUGACUAAUUUCUUUAGAAAAGAGACUAAACACAACUCACCUACUCUCUUCCGGCAGCCGCUUGUUUGUAGUGAGACCUCAGGCCAGUCCAUUAUGGACUACAGCAGGGUGCCGCAGCUCAAGGAAGAACAUUUAUGAUAAUAUCUUUGUAAUUUCCUUAAAGUAAUGAUCAUAAAUGUUCUUCCUUGAGCUGUGAAACUCCGCAGCUGGGAACUCCGUACAAACAAGCAGCUGCGUUUUGGUUGCGGUUUGUUUAUGGCUCCUCAGACCGCUGUGUAUUGCUAUCGUACGAUCAUUACUAAAGUUGGUUUAAUUAGAGAAGCAAGCGGUCGGCAACAUUCAUCUCUUGACGGCGUGUGUUUGACCCUAAAUUAAUUUUACACCAGAAUAUCCCUUUAAAGGUGUGUGAGGCCAUGAUUGACAGCUGUGCAGGCUCAGGCUUCAAAUGAACAAUGUGUUGUCGUGUUGGAUGGUUUGGCUUCACUUUUGCACGAGGCAUGUCGUCCAUCUUUACGGUCUGUAAUCUUUCCCAGCAACAAUAUUUUCUCUCUGUGGGUGAAUCUCGGCUCUGAUCACCAUUUUUCUCACUAUUUAUUAUUUCUAACCUCAUUUUAUCAGCUCUGAAGGCCACUGAGGGAGGAUUUUCCAUGGAAGUGUGUUUUAUUUCGAUCUUACGAGGUCUGUAACUCGACUCGAAAGCCCCGAAGAGAAUCUGACUCAACACAAAUAUUAUAACUGGACAGAACGUGUGAAACUCAGGCCAGUUCAAACCCUCCAUAAAGGACAAUCAUAUCUGCGUUUACCGAGUGAAUAGAACCGCUCUGUAAUUACAGAAUAUACCGAGAGUCCAAGUCUGUGAACAACAACUGAGCCUUUCAAGUCUAGACUCCAGCCGGGGCGAGAGCGGUGAUUAGAUAAUAUGUUUCGCAUUCAGAAGAGCAGCUCAGAGUAGCUUGUGCUGAUUCCUUACGUAAGCAAAUCAUUGAAGAGGAAGAAGAAGAGGAAGAAGAGGGGCGAAGAAGAGGUAAGUUAGGUUACUAGGGCGGCCCACCCAGAUCUAUUCUUCACUUCCUACUGGAGCUUUAAGGUUAGAUAUGUAAGAAACAGAUGUCACGAUCCCAAAAUCAGCCCCUGAUCUUGAACUUUCUUUAGAUUUAAAGCCUCCCUUCACUUCGAGUCGACUCUUCUGAUUAGGAUUCCAGAGGUACCGUGUGUUUUGACAGUAAUCUGUAUUUCAGAAGUCAGCGGUUCAGGAGCGCUCCUCCGUCCCCUGAUAGAUAGAAGGCACAUCUUACGUUUUCCAGAUGCUCGCUCGUUUUCCCAUCUUCCUCCCAGAAGCCUCUGCUGCGGCGGUCUCUUCCUCUGCCUCCUCUUUCACCCAGAUUCGCCUGAUUUAAACAUUUCCAGGUGAGAGGAAGCGGGAUUCAUUCGUAUGAUUCAAACAGCUCGCCCAGUUCUUCCCUCGUGUCUGCCGCGUCUCGUUGCGGCUAAUGGUUUGAAUUAACUCUGAAGAACCCGGGCCGCCUCUUCAGGGCGCACUCAAGACUGAGUGAUGUGGCCACUUAGAGAUCCUCUCCGGGCUAUUCAUAGUAUGAAUAACCAUCUGACACAUUGAAUAGGAUCCGUCAUGACUCCCCUUACAAUAUGAUUCACCGCCGUCCCUUUUAAAGAUGGUGGAGUUACAAAAGAGGGGUUAAAGUGAAGCAGCUCAGAAUAGACUUUGAACAUUUCCCGACUCUUAAGUCCUGGAAAAAAAGGUGGAGUUUUUGGCUGUACUUUUCAUCGAUUCGUAAACUCUUUGAUUACAGUAAGUACUCCGCGACUGAAGAAGUCUGAGGAUGAGAAAACUUGAAGCUAACUUUUACAGAAGUCAGUUUUAAUGUGGUAAAAGCAAAAUGUGAGUUUUGUGGUCGCCUUGAGACGGCGGUCAGGAACUUUUUCAGAGGAGAGGAGCAGGAGGAGAGAGGAGAGCAAGGAGAGGGAUCUUAAAUCCAAAGAGUGUUAAAGGGAUAUUCCGGCGUAAAAUCAAGAGAUGAAUGUUGCCGACCGCUUGCUUCUCUAGUUAUACCAACUUUAGUAAUGACCGCACUAGCAUAGCAAUACACAGUGGCAAUCGUGGAACAAGCGUGUGUGUUAGCGGAUUGCAAUGCUCAUAAGAAAGCUAAUUAUGAUAUUGACUUUCAUCGUGUCCGAGAGCUGAAUAGCUCCGAUGUUACCUGCUUCUGCUACGACAUCAGCAAUGUCAGCCUACAAGCUAACGUGAAGAGACGUGUGCAGAGCAGCGCUGUCUCCGCCAACGACUCAGAGGCGAAGUGCUAAUGAGCUACUGGAGCUCUGUACGAGAAAACACUGUUGCCAACUCCUCAGUAAGGAAAGUCGCUAGUGGCAACUAGCAACCAAAACUCCACUCUAUAGCCACAAAUAAUGCUCAGAACAGCACCUAACUUCAUCAACAGGACAUAUAGGGUCACAGCCAUAGUACUAGACACCAAGCAAAGAGACAAAACGCAACUCACCUACUCUCUUCCAGCAGCCUCCUGUUUGUAGCGGGACCUCAGGCCAGUCCAUUAUGGACUACAGCGGAGUUUCGCAGCUCAAGGAAGAACAUUCAUGAUCAUUUCUUCAUGAAAAUACAAUCAGACCGAGAUGUUAAGGCAGAAGAACUACAGCGACUGCAGAGCAAAAUGAUUAAUAUGAUGAUUAUUACUUCAAGGAAAUGAUAAAUAAAUGAUCAUAAAUGUUCUUCCUUGAACUGUGAAACUCCGCUACAGUCGAUGGACUCGCCCGCAGGUCUCCGUACAAACAAGCGGCUACUGGAAGAGAGUAGGGGAGUUGUGUUUUGUCUCUUUGCUUGGUGUCUAGUACUAUGUCUGUGACCCUAUAUGUCUUGUUGAUGAAGUUAGGUGCUGUUCUGAGCAUUAUUUGUGGCUAUAGAGUGGAGUUUUGGUGGAGCACGUUGUUCUCUGUAUUGCUAUCGUGCAGUCGUUACUAAAGUUGGUAUAACCAGGGAAGCAAGCGGUCUGCAACAUUCAUCUCUGGACGGAGUGUCUAACACUAACUUAGUUUUAUGCUGGAAUAUCCCUUUAACAUUUACUGGGCUAAAUCAUGACAUCAGUUAGUAUCAUAAUAAAAUCUAACCCUAAAUUCUUAACCUCAUAAUGAAGCAGGUUUGAAAAAACUGAAUAAGAAGUUCCAUUUGCAGCUUUUUAUGAAAUCAAAGGGUUUUAAAAACAGUCUGUGAUUUAGUUUAGUCAGUAUAAUUGAGGCAUUUGUCAGGGAAGAAAGAAAUGUCCUUUUAAUUUUCUUCAUUUUUUUGUUUUUGAAAGUGUGUAAAUGUUUAAAGACUUUUAAAAUUCUGUGAAUGAGUGAGAGAAGGAACAGAGCUCCUCACUUUAGGAAAACUCGUUUCUUUGUUCUGCACAGCGACGUUAACAGAGGAUUAAAGUGCUUUAUUAGCCUUAUCAGAGAAGAAAACACUCAUGUUUGAAGACAAAAUCAGCUUCAAACUACCUUUAAAAGUCUUUCUUUCGUUACUUUGACUAAUAUACGUUUCUUUCCUCCUCGUUUAUUUCUGCUGGCAGCUCUGCUCGACUUUUCAGGUCGUGACAGAAAGAGGAAACUUCUCCGAAUCAUCCCUGUCUGCAGAUAUAUAAACUCUAUUCACCGUGUUUCGCUGCGGGGCUCUUUGCCAGAUCGUGUUUUCCCCUGAAUUUAACAGAGCGAGACGUUUCCCUCCACCUGACGUCUGAGCGCGCCGCUUUAACUCCGUCCGUUUUGUGAUUCUGGGACGUGGUUUCUGCUGCUGAGAGAAAAGGUUUGAUUCUCUUCCUCCUGGAUAUUUUCACGCAGCCAGGCUUACUCAGCGAUUUCCAGGCCCCGUUUUGAUCGAUGAGGCUGCCUCACCAUGGCGACAGUUGCUAGGGGCAGCGUUUGGGUGUUUACAACCGGCUGCCGCAGGUGGUUUUAAUAGCGGGCUAUCGAUCCCAUGAUGUGUGUGUUUACACGUGUGUGUGUGUGUGUGUGCACGCCACACUCAAUAAUGUAAUUACAAUGAGGGAAGUUUAAUGCGACCACAUCUUCGGCGUGAUGCUUUUAUCGAUCCCUGUAGUAAACGGCGCUCCGUCUCCGGGAGGUGAGGUCCAAUAAAAAUAAUCCUCCGAACCAGAAACCAUGUAGCAGAGCGCCGGAUAACUCCGCUAAGCUGUCCCUCAUGCUCGUCAGGCGCCGGGAAAACAAACGCUGGAUGUCAUAUUGGCGAGGGAAGCGUUUCCCCCCCCUCUCUCUCGCUGAUGCUCAGCAGACAGCUUGGAUUUCACUCAACUUCCUGAGAGCGAGGAUGUGCUUCGCCACGGCAGCAGGGUUUCAUUUAGAAGAGCGGCGCAUAUUUGGCGCUGAAAACGGUCUUUUGUUUGACAUAAAUCCACCUCUCCGGUCUCACGCUGCACGUUUGAGGGGAUCCCCGAGACGUCGUUUGUGUGUGAAGCUGUCACUAAGAAUUACAGGAGAGGAGACAUGACAGAUGCCUCCAGGGCAAGACACACACACCAACACACACACACUCAUCCUUUGUGAUAUCUGCGUCCUCUGUAGUUAAAAGGACUGAAUUAACCUUUCUGUUAUGUUUGCGUUACUAGACUCGCUCUAACGGCCCGUGUGACGGCGUUAACCUCCUGAGGACGCUCGGUAUCAGAUUCAGUUUUAUUCGUGUCUCGGUCUGGACUGGAAGCUGCAAACUGGGACACCGAGACACAUCACGUCUCAGCUUUAAUGUGACCCGUCUCUCCUCCCCGCCAUCAUCCCACAGAUCAGACCUUCCUGUCCACUAACCCGCACCAGUAGACCCAGUUUACCCUCGAAAUGUGUGUGUGUGUGUGUGUGUGUGUGGUCACAUGGCUCUGCCGGAUGACUUGUUGCAAUCGUGCUGAGGCCGACACAUUUAAUUGUGAGAGACGGGUUUGCAGAGGGGCACCGGGAGGGUUCUCACAACACACACACACACACAUUCAGAAAUGUUGCGUUCAUUCUGCGGCUGACCUGUUUACUCUCCACAUGAACACAGAGCAGGAAACUGUUCAGAGCAGAAGCAGGAGAUCUUUAAUUUAACAUCUAUAUCAGUUUUUUUAUGAUCACUAAACAGCCACAGUGAAACCAGAGUGAUGUAGAAGACUGAAAACAGACUAAUAUGAGUUUAAAAGAUGUUAAAAACACAAUUAAAAUGAAUAAAAGCUCAUUUAAAAGGCCAGAAAUCAUCACAAGAUAGAGAUGUGUUUGAAGCCAUGAUGUCACAAUUUAAAGGCCCUCCUGAUUGGCGCGGGGGGGUAGUUAAACGCUUUUCUGGUCCGAAUUUGAUCAGUCAGUCUUCCUGUCGGCGUGAAGAGCAGUAGCCUAUAGUAUAUCUACAGUAUACAUAUAUCUUCAUAAAAAAUUAAUCGGUAAUGAGAUUUUUCACCCCCUUAUAAUCGGUAUCGGCCCCAAAAAAAUGCAUAUGGGUCGGGCCCUAGUUGUUUGUCAUUGACAAAUUAAUGUUUUCGGUAACCCUUUCUUUUACGGUUUACUUAUUACCAGGUAAUUACCUGGUAACAACAUGUAUUUAUCUGGUAAUUACAUUACAUUACUACUAAGUCAAUACUGUCUAGUUUUUUUUGUUUUUUUUUCUGUGCAGCUCCAUUUUCAAAAGCUAUUCGGGGUUCUUAUUUUCUAUGAUUGACAGCCUAUGGGUGUGCGAAGAUUGCGCAGCGAUAUGCUGUUUGAGCCGAUCAUUAUCACAGCGACUCACCCGCCGAAUACGUACAAUGCUACUGCGCAAGUGGUGGUUCCAGGAAGUGGAGAAAAUCCUGGAAAUAUCAGAGCAACUCGGCUUCAAAUUUGUAUGAUGAUGGAAGGUUACCUACCUGGUAGCUAGACAGUAUUGACUUAGUAGUUAUCAUGUAAUAACCAGAUAAAUACAUGUUAUUACUAGGUAAUUACCUGUUAAUUACCAAGUUUUCAUUUCUAUUGUAAUUACAUGAUCGUUCCUAAUAUCAGUUGUUCGUCUCAUGAAUUUCUGUUAAACAGUGGAUGCAUCGACUUUGAAAAACAAAUAUUGGCCACCCUGAUUUCUAGAUAAAGUGAGCGACCACCAACCUUUAACGACGCGACCCAAAUAGUUCAUUUUAAUCUAAGUUCUGCCUCUAUUAAUAUAAACAGCCAAUAGCACCUUGGGUGGCCGAUCAAAUUUCAAAGAGGCUGGGGCAGUGCCACCCCUGAACAACCGUUUGGACACACCCCUGUCAGUGAGUUCCAGUUCUGUCUCAAGGCCUCAAAGCUGGUUUUGAUGAGUGUUUUUUUGUUAAUGAGUCAAUAACAGAAAAUAAAACCCUGUUCUGCAGUUUUAAAUCAGCGAAAGGUUCAUGAAAAAUCAGAUUAUAGAGCCACACACCUGUCAGGAUGUAACUAGUUAUCUAACAAGAGGAAGUAAUCUCAUCUACACGACACAGAAUCCACCCAUGUGACAUUAUCAAACACCACAAAUGAAUUUCAAACACAGUGAAGUAUCAGAGCGGCGACAGCGUGGCUUCGGCUGCUUUAUUCCCAUGUUUUAUUCACCGUGUCUUAAAGCGGCUGUUUCAUAACACUAAAGACGUCCGCACACUCACAGACACACACUCACAGACGCACACUGGAGACCAUAAAGUGACGAAGAUCUCUUGCAGAACUUAAUCGCCCAAAUGUGAACCCUCUUCCUCUCUGAUCGCUUCAUUAUCCGAAAAAAUAGAUGAAAAUACUUCCAAAGAAACCAUGACAACAUUUCCAAAGAGCCGCCCCCCCUCAACCUCCUCAAAAAAAAGGCCAUAAAAAGCAAGUGUAAAAUCUCUCGUCUCCCCUCCUCU
RNAcentral lists this long non-coding RNA (7644 nucleotides) under Xyrichtys novacula (pearly razorfish). Lineage: Eukaryota; Metazoa; Chordata; Actinopteri; Labriformes; Labridae. The record is from RNAcentral.